CUCGUUGAUGUCUAGCAUGCGAGUCAUUGUAGCAUACAAGGCAUACGGCUCAGUAACGCGUAGUCAACCUAACCUAUGGACGGGAAUAACCUCGGGAAACUGAGAAUAAUGCCCGAUAGAACACUAUACCUGGAAUGGUUUGUGUUCCAAAUGAUUUAUCGCCAUAGGAUGGGACUGCGGCCUAUCAGUUUGUUGGUGAGGUAAUGGCCCACCAAGACUAUUACAGGUACGGGCUCUGAGAGGAGUAGCCCGGAGAUGGGUACUGAGACACGGACCCAGGCCCUAUGGGGCGCAGCAGGCGAGAAAACUUUGCAAUGUGCGAAAGCACGACAAGGUUAAUCCGAGUGAUUUGUGCUAAACGAAUCUUUUGUUAGUCCUAGAAACACUAACGAAUAAGGGGUGGGCAAGUUCUGGUGUCAGCCGCCGCGGUAAAACCAGCACCUCAAGUGGUCAGGAUGAUUAUUGGGCCUAAAGCAUCCGUAGCCGGCUCUGUAAGUUUUCGGUUAAAUCUGUACGCUUAACGUACAGGCUGCCGGGAAUACUGCAGAGCUAGGGAGUGGGAGAGGUAGACGGUACUCGGUAGGAAGUGGUAAAAUGCUUUGAUCUAUCGAUGACCACCUGUGGCGAAAGCGGUCUACCAGAACACGUCCGACGGUGAGGGAUGAAAGCUGGGGGAGCAAACCGGGAUUAGAUACCCGGUAGUCCCAGCUGUAACUAUGCAAACUCAGUGAUGCCAUGCCCUGUGACCAAAUGCAGUGCCUGCCAAGCA
RNAcentral lists this ribosomal RNA (769 nucleotides) under uncultured archaeon. Its description in RNAcentral is "bacterial SSU rRNA". It matches the Rfam family "Archaeal small subunit ribosomal RNA", at positions 32 to 837 of the family's 1478-position model. The record is from RNAcentral.